UAUUGCACAAUGGGCGCAAGCCUGAUGCAGCAACGCCGCGUGAGGGACGACGGCCUUCGGGUUGUAAACCUCUUUUAGUAGGGAAGAAGCGAUGUGCUUGUCACAUCAUGACGGUACCUGCAGAAAAAGCGCCGGCUAACUACGUGCCAGCAGCCGCGGUAAUACGUAGGGCGCGAGCGUUAUCCGGAAUUAUUGGGCGUAAAGAGCUCGUAGGCGGUUUGUCGCGUCUGCUGUGAAAACUGGAGGCUCAACCUCCAGCCUGCAGUGGGUACGGGCAGACUCGAGUGCGGUAGGGGAGAUUGGAAUUCCUGGUGUAGCGGUGGAAUGCGCAGAUAUCAGGAGGAACACCGAUGGCGAAGGCAGAUCUCUGGGCCGUAACUGACGCUGAGGAGCGAAAGCAUGGGGAGCGAACAG
RNAcentral lists this ribosomal RNA (414 nucleotides) under uncultured bacterium. RNAcentral's name for it is "bacterial SSU rRNA". It matches the Rfam family "Bacterial small subunit ribosomal RNA", at positions 362 to 775 of the family's 1533-position model. The record is from RNAcentral.